ACUAGAAUGACUGAUAAAAAGUAAUAGACUGUAAAUUUAUUUAUGAAAAAAAAAAUUCUUCUAGUA
This 66-nucleotide transfer RNA is filed under the name Cosmoscarta heros. RNAcentral's name for it is "tRNA-Tyr". Lineage: Eukaryota; Metazoa; Arthropoda; Insecta; Hemiptera; Cercopidae. The record is from RNAcentral.